RNAcentral lists this ribosomal RNA (346 nucleotides) under uncultured bacterium. RNAcentral describes it as "partial 16S ribosomal RNA". It matches the Rfam family "Bacterial small subunit ribosomal RNA", at positions 338 to 698 of the family's 1533-position model. The record is from RNAcentral.
CCUACGGGAGGCAGCAGUGGGGAAUAUUGGGCAAUGGGCGCAAGCCUGACCCAGCAACGCCGCGUGAAGGAAGAAGGCUUUCGGGUUGUAAACUUCUUUUCUCAGGGACGAAGAAAGUGACGGUACCUGAGGGAUAAGCCACGGCUAACUACGUGCCAGCAGCCGCGGUAAGACGUAGGUGGCAAUCGUUAUCCGGAUUUAUUGGGUGUAAAGGGCGUGUAGGCGGGAGCGUAAGGCAGAUGUGAAAACUCAGGGCUCAAACCUGGGCUUGCAUUUGAUACUGUGUUUCUUGAGUGCUGGUGAGGUAAUCGGAAUUAGGUAAGUAGCGGUGAAAUGCGUAGAUAUA